Long non-coding RNA from Nothoprocta perdicaria, 309 nucleotides. RefSeq lists it as uncharacterized. The record is from RefSeq and is a predicted model, not a curated record. The transcript is spliced from 2 exons. NCBI's taxonomy places the organism in Eukaryota, Metazoa, Chordata, Aves, Tinamiformes, Tinamidae.
CUGUGCAACAAGGUUUUCGCUGACCCUCACGGGACCUGUGAUCCGCAGCACUAUGGACAAUGUGGAUUGCCUACAGGAAGACCCUAAAGACCGUGAAACACUGAUUCCACACACCAAGGAGGCGCUUUCCAGUUGAGAGCUGACUGCUUUUCUCCUAAGAAGAUGAAUACCUGGAAAAGCAAACAAACAAACAAAAAACAGCUUGAGGUAUUUAUGAAGAAUGCUAUGAACACUGAAGUAAAUUUUAACUAUUUCCUUCUGACUGUGUAACUUCYGAUUUUUGAUUGUCACUUUAAAGUAAGAUGUUGC